CCUACGGGUGGCUGCAGUAGGGAAUCUUCGGCAAUGGGCGAAAGCCUGACCGAGCAACGCAGCGUGAAUGAAGAAGGCCUUCGGGGUGUAAAAUUCUGUUAUAAGGGAAGUAAGGUGAAAGGAGGAAAUGACUAUCAAUUGACGGAACCUUAUGAGAAAGCCACGGCUAACUACGUGACAGCAGCUGCGGUAAUACGUAGGAGGCAAGCGUUAUCCGGAAUUAUUGGGCGUAAAGGGAGCGCAGGUGGUUAAUUAAGUCUGAUGUGAAAGCCCACGGCUUAACCGUGGAGGGUCAUUUGAAACUGGUAGCCUUGAGUGCAGAAGAGGGAAGUGGAAUUCCAUGUGUAGCGGUGAAAUGCGUAGAGAUAUGGAGGAACACCAGUGGCGAAGGCGGCUUCCUGGUCUGCAACUGACACUGAGGCGCGAAAGCGUGGGGAGCAAACAGGAUUAGAUACCCCUGUAGUC
RNAcentral lists this ribosomal RNA (465 nucleotides) under uncultured bacterium. RNAcentral's name for it is "partial 16S ribosomal RNA". It matches the Rfam family "Bacterial small subunit ribosomal RNA", at positions 338 to 795 of the family's 1533-position model. The record is from RNAcentral.